Passer montanus (Eurasian tree sparrow) is the source of this 3274-nucleotide long non-coding RNA. RefSeq lists it as uncharacterized. The transcript has 3 exons. Lineage: Eukaryota; Metazoa; Chordata; Aves; Passeriformes; Passeridae. The record is from RefSeq and is a predicted model, not a curated record.
UCCUUUCACCUGCUAAGCCAGAUGCCUUAGGUGAUGAAUAUACUGAAGCUUCUGAGGUAUGCCCACCACAGACUAUUUUCCCUUCAACUACUCAACUGUCAUUCUCCCUGUUGUUAAAUUAACAGUUAAACCAUACAAAAACAGAAUUCUACUUCUACCACAGGAAUGGUGAAAAAAUAUAAUUACUUUUAAAAAGUCUUCUUCCCUCUCCACCAACAGGCUCUAUCUUCCUGUUUAGGAAUAACUAGCUUUUUGUUCAGCUAAUAACCAAAGCAUGUAACACCCUCCCUGCUAAAUAGUAAAGAAUUGUUUAAGAUGGUCUUUGGUGUUGUUUUUUUGUUUUAUUGCAAAAAACAAAAACUGUUUAGGAGGUUCUUUACUCCAGUAAUUUAGAACCAGUGUUAGAUCACUUCCAGCUGGAGAAAAUGCACCAGAGGCACUAGUAUUCAAGUGAAGUGAGUCAAAACAACUAAGAGACUAGUUAAGAUGGAUGGACGAUAUAAUAUGUUUUGAGUGAUUUCUGUAGAAUUCUGCGGCUUCUGUGCUACAUCUAUGAAGUUGAAGAACUGGAUAUGAACCAGAACACAGACCAUCCCAAGAAGACAGAAUUUACCUAAAACUAUGAUUAUUUCAUAUCUUUAUCUGUGCUGUUUACCUUUUCCUAGAAAACACUACUCAUAGGAAAAACUUGCUAAGUCAACUCUGACAAAAAUAGCUUAUCAACAUUACUUCCAGCAUUAUGUAAUGGACUCGUCAUCGUAUGCUCUGACAGAUUAUUUUAGAACUGGUUAUACCUAAACAUCCAGAAGAACAUUCUUUGACUCACUAGAUGUUUUGGUUUUAUCUUAAGCUACCUACUACAAACACAACAAUACAUUCACCACUUUUUCACCAUUACUGUCAGCUUUCUCAUUCUGCAAGAACACAAAAAAAAUGGUGCUCUAGACUGUGAAAAAAGAAUUUCUCUAAUACCAUAAGGGUUGAAACAAGAUGUACUCCAUUAAAACGGAACUCUUUAAAUGAAAACAUCCCCUGAUUAAUGAUUAAAAAAAAAAGGCAACUUAAAUUAAAUGCUGGCUGUGUUUUUUUGGUUUUUUGUUAAUGCAUAGUUUUAUACUGAUUUUCAGACUAAAAGGCACCUAAGAUCAGGUAGUACCAGAACCAGUGUAGUGAUACAGCUACAGUAGUUCUCUGCUUACUUGAGAAAACAAGUACUUUUACUGGCAGAGAUAACAUUCAUAACUUAACACCUUUUUUCCCCAGUAUAUGCAUUUCCACACUGCAAUGCAUCAUACACAAACACUAUUCAGGAAGCAAUCAAGUAAUGAUCAACAUGAUUACACCAUCAAAAGAUCAUAGGAAAGCUUUAUUACAACAGAAUGGAUGAAAAAUAAUCAAAGGUAAUAAUACAUGAAAGCUAAGUUUGUUGAAGGUCACUGACACGCACAUGGGCAUCACAGUUCAAUAAUAUUUCUUUCCUUUUAUAUAUGUUAGUCUAUCACAUCUGACAGGUCUUUGAGAACAAAUUUUUCACAGAAGAUCCAGCUGCUGGCAGGAUGAGCACAACUAUUGUGUGGAAAAUUAUCACUGUUCAUGAUGAUCUAUACAUUCAAAGUAAUUACCAGUACUGCAACCAUGGGAUAAGUGAUAAUAAUUUCUUUAAACCUUAAAUUCAUUAAUACCUUUUUCUCAAAUUAUGAACUUUUCUUUCCCGCCCCAGUCUUGAUGUGCUCCCAACUGAAACCAAAGCUUUAUACACUUCAAAGCACUUCUCCAAAUGCACAUCUAUUAAAGUGUACACACAAAACCAGCCUGAGCAUGGCACAUUAGCUUCUGCCACAACUUUAUUUUUUAAAGGAAAGACUGCAAUGCCUGUUUAAAAACAAAAGGAAACCCAUUUGUGACUUCCAGGCCCUGUGAGGUCUAAUGUGCAAUGUGAAAACCAGCUGGCCUCGCUCUGAAAGGGUUAAAAACAGCAACCAAAAAAUUUAAACUACUUGUAUUUCUCCAGCGGUAAAACCAAAAUAUUGCCAGGUCUUCCUGCAGCCAGGCCACUGGAUAAUUUAGGCUAAAAUAAAUGUUUAUUAAAAAACAGGGCGUUGAUUUCUUGGCAGCGGUGAAAAGCAGGAGACACCCCUAGUGUCGACGUAAAAUACUACAGGACUCCAUACUGUAUCUCCAGGUUAAUUUUCCGGCAGAAAAGAGGAAAUUUAAACCCGUCAUGACUGAAAAACCAGAGCGACUCUGGCACACACUCCCACACCUGGGCACACGGCACUCCGGCAGCCUCAGACCCCGAGCACCCAUCCCGGGCGAGGCUUUCCGCCCCGGCGCAGGCACAGCGCACAUUAUCCCGUCCGCUGGGCUACGUGCAUUACAGCUUUCCGGUCCGCGCACCAACAGCACAGCGCUGCUGCUGCUGCACCGGGGGCGGGGGGAGAACCCCGCGGAGCUGCGAAACAACCCCCGCACGGCAGCGCCGCCCAAAUCGCCGGGGUCUCGUGUGGAGAAGGCUCCGGGCGCCCAUGGUGCCUCCGUGGAGCGGACGAGGCGCAGCACGGGCGACGCGAAUGCCCGGAGCGCGGGGAGGGUCGGGUGGGGGUGAGGUGAGAGGGUGCCGGCGAAGGGAAGGGCCGAGCCCGACAAGCGCUGCCAAGGCGGCGGAGGGAGGAGGCGGAGAGCCAGCGGGGUUCCGUGGGCGGCGGAGGAGAGCGGGGGAUGCGCCCGCCGCCGGGGAGAGCCGGGAAGGAAGCCCACAGAGACGCUCGCCCGCGGGAGGACGUGGACGGCCCGGGGGCGGGAGGAGCCGGGUGAAAGAAAUCGAAGGGAACCUGUCCUUAUUUUUCUGGCAUAUUUGUGAGAGCAUGUAUAAAGUGCCAAGGCUUGGGAGGAAAGAGAGAUGAUACUUCUCAGUUCCAGUAAGGCACAGCUGAAAAAACUGAUCUAAUGAAAGACCAGAAGAAUGCUGUGGGGUACAGAAGCCUUGUGAAGCUGUAGAUCAUAGGGCACUCGUGUCCUCUGUAGACUGUGGUUCAACUCUCCAGUCAAAAUCCUGGUAUGCCUCCUAUGCAAGAGUAGCACAAAAAGGAACCAUACUGGAAUAAAAGAUCUGGGACCCGUUAAUGUUCAGGUUUAAGUAGAUAUGUAGUUUAGAAAGGAUUGUACCCUACAGUUUAUUUUCACUAAUUUAGAAUAAGAAAGGAUUGAGGGAAAUAAAAUCUUAGAGAGCCAAAUGAUUAUUUUAACCCUUCCUCUUGUUAGAAAGUAAUACUUU